Molecule: ribosomal RNA, 468 nt
Filed under: uncultured bacterium
Lineage: Bacteria
Description: partial 16S ribosomal RNA
Rfam family: Bacterial small subunit ribosomal RNA
Source: RNAcentral
GACGAACGCUGGCGGCGUGCUUAACACAUGCAAGUCGAACGGAAAGGCCCUGCUUUUGUGGGGUGCUCGAGUGGCGAACGGGUGAGUAACACGUGAGUAACCUGCCCUUGACUUUGGGAUAACUUCAGGAAACUGGGGCUAAUACCGGAUAGGAGCUCCUGCUGCAUGGUGGGGGUUGGAAAGUUUCGGCGGUUGGGGAUGGACUCGCGGCUUAUCAGCUUGUUGGUGGGGUAGUGGCUUACCAAGGCUUUGACGGGUAGCCGGCCUGAGAGGGUGACCGGCCACAUUGGGACUGAGGUACGGCCCAGACUCCUACGGGCGGCAGCAGUGGGAAAUAUUGCACACUGGGCGGAAGCCUGGUGCAGCAACGCCGCGUGCGGGAUGACGGCCUUCGGGUUGUAAACCGCUUUCGCCUGUGACGAAGCGUGAGUGACGGUAAUGGGUAAAGAAGCACCGGCUAACUACGUG